This is a small nuclear RNA of Sorex fumeus (smoky shrew), 185 nucleotides long. RefSeq annotates it as U2 spliceosomal RNA. The record is from RefSeq and is a predicted model, not a curated record. The transcript has a single exon. NCBI's taxonomy places the organism in Eukaryota, Metazoa, Chordata, Mammalia, Eulipotyphla, Soricidae.
UUCAGUUCUCUGGCUUUUGGAUAAGAUCAAGUGUAGUAUCCGUUCUUAUCAGUUUAAUAUAUAUAUAUAUAUAGAAAUACACAUAUAUAUUAUACAUACAUCCAGUGUCUUUACCAAUGUAUUUAUUCUUGGCACUUGAGUUCUAUCCAAAUCUUGGCCAAUGUGAUGUGUACUACAACAAACAU